AAGCAGCAGNGGGGAAUAUUGGACACNGGGCGCAAGCCUGAUCCAGCCAUGCCGCGUGUGUGAAGAAGGCCUUCGGGUUGUAAAGCACUUUCAGCGAGGAGGAAGGGUUAGUAGUUAAUAGCUGCUAAUUUUGACGUUACUCGCAGAAGAAGCACCGGCUAACUCUGUGCCAGCAGCCGCGGUAAUACAGAGGGUGCAAGCGUUAAUCGGAAUUACUGGGCGUAAAGCGCACGUAGGCGGUUUUUUAAGUCAGAUGUGAAAGCCCCGGGCUCAACCUGGGAAUUGCAUUUGAAACUGGAAAACUAGAGUGUGUGAGAGGGGGGUAGAAUUCCAAGUGUAGCGGUGGAAAUGCGUAGAGAUUUGGAGGGAAUACCAGUGGCGAAGGCGGCCCCCUGGCACAACACUGACGCUCAGGUGCGAAAGCGUGGGGAGCCAAACAGGAUUAGAUACCCUGGUAGUCCACGCCGUAAACGAUGUCUACUAGCUGUUCGUGGUCUUGUACCGUGAGUAGCGCAGCUAACGCAUUAAGCAGACCGCCUGGGGAGUACGGUCGCAAGAUUAAAACUCAAAUGAAUUGACGGGGGC
Molecule: ribosomal RNA, 585 nt
Filed under: uncultured Gammaproteobacteria bacterium
Lineage: Bacteria; Pseudomonadati; Pseudomonadota; Gammaproteobacteria
Description: bacterial SSU rRNA
Rfam family: Bacterial small subunit ribosomal RNA
Source: RNAcentral